Molecule: ribosomal RNA, 76 nt
Filed under: Streptomyces sp. PsTaAH-137
Lineage: Bacteria; Bacillati; Actinomycetota; Actinomycetes; Kitasatosporales; Streptomycetaceae
Description: partial 23S ribosomal RNA
Source: RNAcentral
CUGGGUUGAUAGGCCGGAUCUGGAAGCACCGUGAGGUGUGGAGGUGACCGGUACUAAUAGGCCGAGGGCUUGUCCU